This 498-nucleotide ribosomal RNA is filed under the name uncultured bacterium. RNAcentral's name for it is "partial 16S ribosomal RNA". It matches the Rfam family "Bacterial small subunit ribosomal RNA", at positions 28 to 523 of the family's 1533-position model. The record is from RNAcentral.
GAUUAACGCGGGCGGCAUGCCUUACACAUGCAAGUCGAACGGUAACAGGUCUUCGGAUGCUGACGAGUGGCGAACGGGUGAGUAAUACAUCGGAACGUGCCUAGUAGUGGGGGAUAACUACUCGAAAGAGUGGCUAAUACCGCAUGAGAUCUACGGAUGAAAGCAGGGGAUCGCAAGACCUUGUGCUACUAGAGCGGCCGAUGGCAGAUUAGGUAGUUGGUGGGAUAAAAGCUUACCAAGCCGACGAUCUGUAGCUGGUCUGAGAGGACGAUCGGCCACACUGGGACUGAGACACGGGCCAGACUACUACGGGAGGCAGCAGUGGGGAAUUUUGGACAAUGGGCGAAAGGCUGAUCCAGCAACGCCGCGUGCAGGAUGAAGGGCUUCGGGUUGUAAACUGCUUUGGUACGGAACGAAAAGCCCCGGGUUAAUACCCUGGGGUCAUGACGGUACCGUAAGAAUAAGCACCGGCUAACUACGUGCCAGCCGCCGCCGUAA